This 45-nucleotide non-coding RNA is filed under the name Schistosoma mansoni. Lineage: Eukaryota; Metazoa; Platyhelminthes; Trematoda; Strigeidida; Schistosomatidae. The record is from RNAcentral.
AUCAAGCUGACGAGUCUCAAAUAGGACGAAACGCGCAUCCUGAAU